RNAcentral lists this ribosomal RNA (259 nucleotides) under uncultured bacterium. RNAcentral describes it as "partial 16S ribosomal RNA". It matches the Rfam family "Bacterial small subunit ribosomal RNA", at positions 96 to 353 of the family's 1533-position model. The record is from RNAcentral.
CGGCGGACGGGUGAGUAACGCGUGGGUAACCUGCCUCAUACAGGGGGAUAACAGUUGGAAACGGCUGCUAAUACCGCAUAAGCGCACAGUACCGCAUGGUACGGUGUGAAAAACUCCGGUGGUAUGAGAUGGACCCGCGUCUGAUUAGGUAGUUGGUGGGGUAACGGCUCACCAAGGCGACGAUCAGUAGCCGGCUUGAGAGAGUGAACGGCCACAUUGGGACUGAGACACGGCCCAAACUCCUACGGGAGGCAGCAUG